Podarcis raffonei (Aeolian wall lizard) is the source of this 1561-nucleotide long non-coding RNA. RefSeq lists it as uncharacterized. The record is from RefSeq and is a predicted model, not a curated record. Lineage: Eukaryota; Metazoa; Chordata; Lepidosauria; Squamata; Lacertidae. The transcript has 3 exons.
AGGCUCCAGCCGCGCUGCGGCGCCGGACAGAUGUGGUGCCCCUUCCAAAAAAACCCCCCACAAAAACUACCACCUAAACGCCCCGAUCAUCCAGAUGUGUGGCAGCUAAGAGGAAGCGCCCCGCGCAAAGAGUGACAGGCUGGAACUCAACACAUAGAAUUGUAGAAUUGGAAGGGACCACGAGGAUAAUCUAGUCUAGUCCAACAUGUGGGACUCGAACCCACGACCCUGUGAUUAAGAGGCUCGUGCUCUACCGACUGAGGAACCCCUCCUCAUUAUCUACCCUGUGAGGAACAGAGACAGCGAUGUGGUGGAAAACUUUGAAUUGAGAAAUUUUCCAAUGCACUAACCACAUUUGUACCAGGCACAAAGACUGCAAAAGAGGAUCAAAGGAAUGCUUCUGAGCUCAUCUGUGAAAAAUCCACAUCAAAACCAAAGGGGAAUCAAAAUAAGGAACAUCCAGGAUAUUCUAAAAACUGCAAAACUAUGUUAUUCAGCAUUUAGACAGUUUGAGCAUAAGAAGACCUUGUUGGCUCACGCCAUUGGCCCAUUUAGUCCAGCCUCCUGUUCUUGCAGUGGCCAACUAGAUGCCUGUGGGAAACCCCACAAGCAGGACUGAAGCACAAAAAAGGAGGGCCCAACCAUAGGAUGAGUUAGACUAGAACUUUGCAUUUAAUGUACAGAUUUUUAAAAAAUACAAAUAUCAGCUUGAGUGGUGGGGAUUAUAAUGACCAGGAUGCUGCAGGGGUACAGUAAUUUAAUCCUUUCCUUUGAGGGAAACCCCUCCUUUGCUGCUGCUGUUUGCUUUGUGAAGACAUCACAUUCCACAAUUUUUAAAAUUAUUAUUAUUAUUAUUAUUAUUAUUAUUAUUAUUAUUAUUAUUAUUAAAUUUGUAUACCACCCUUGAUCCAUAGAUACUUUGCUAUUAACGUUUACUUAUCUGCACGGUUCUUUUGCACCAGUCACUGCUAAGAGAAAUCAAAUUUCAAAUGUGGGUUUUUUUAAAGAAUCAAGGUACAAAUAUCAACUCCAGAAUGCAGUUUGCAAAUUGAGUGUGUUUCUACAAAAUAAGAUGCAUUUGGACAAUUCAAAAUUUAUUCAGAAUUUCAGUUUUGUAGGCUUCUUAAUACGGCAUUUGAGUUUCUCCCGGGAAGACAAACCCGCGAAAGAUAAUUCACUGUUGCAGACUGUGAGUAGUGAAACUGAUCUGUCCUAAUUCUUUCUUCUAAUGAUACAAUGCUAGCAACAUCUCCAGCCCUCUGUCGAUUACUUACAUGCUGUCUGUCAGGAUACAAGUCCUAUCAAGGCAGUUGAUAAGUAUCAUUAAAUUAAUGUCUCCAAACCCAACUCUUCUGGACAUCAGUCAUACAAGAAAUAUGCAAAAUAACUAAGCAAGUGUUAGAAAUCACCCCAGAACUGGCCCUACUGAACAUCUUCCAAGAUAAUAAUGCCCACUCACAUUGUAAAGAGCUCAUAACCCACCUACUCUCAGCAGCCAGAAGCAUCAUGGCCAGGCAAUGGAGAGACCUGUCAUGAGUAAAUAUGGACCAAUGGUAUCAAA